Molecule: ribosomal RNA, 253 nt
Filed under: uncultured bacterium
Lineage: Bacteria
Description: partial 16S ribosomal RNA
Rfam family: Bacterial small subunit ribosomal RNA
Source: RNAcentral
UACGGGGGGGGCAAGCGUUGUUCGGAAUUACUGGGCGUAAAGGGCUCGUAGGUGGCCAACUAAGUCAGACGUGAAAUCCCUCGGCUUAACCGGGGAACUGCGUCUGAUACUGGAUGGCUUGAGUUUGGGAGAGGGACGCGGAAUUCCAGGUGUAGCGGUGAAAUGCGUAGAUAUCUGGAGGAAUACCGGUGGCGAAGGCGGCAUCCUGGACCGGCAUUGACGCUGAUGAGCGAAAGCUAGGGGAGCAAACGGG